UGGUAGAGAGAGUAUUGGAGAAGUCGGUGGAGAUUAAUACAUGGGAUGUGGUAUCUGUAAUAGGACCAUACCUUCGUUAAUCGUACGUACGGCAAAGAUGUGACUCGUCAUGAGAUUGACUCCCCAUCAACCAUGAACAACUCACUCGUGGAAUACGUCUAUGUAGAAUUGUAGAUAUGACUAUUUUGGUUAAAUCAAUGCAGGCCCCAUACUGCUGUAGCUGAAUUGACGUAAAUCAAUAUCGUAAGGAAAAUAUUCCAAAAAAUCAUAUACAGUCCCCUAAAGAAAAGUUGCAGCAUGGUUUUACGCAGUGUAUUGCUCGUGUAGUAACGAGGAAAAUAUAGAACUUAGAGCAGCUCUAUCGGAGGCUGUUUAGAGGGUUUCUAUACCAAAAAAAAAAAAAAUUAAAUGAAAAAUGAAAUAAAGCCACAGAACCGGUCCUGUAUUUGGUGGUUGUAGAAGCCGUAAUAACCCCAUACGUGGCAAUAUGAUAUUGGCUCGAGCAAAGGUUGCCUCUUCUCUUCUCUUUCGCAAUCGAUCCGUCUCUCUCUUUUCUUCGAUGUUGUCGAUGACUCCUCCCCACCGGGGAUCGCCGCUCUUGGCCGCUUGCAAUCGAACCGUCUCUCUCGCAAUCGAUCCGUCUCUCUCGUUCUUGGCCGCUUGCAAUCGAACCGUCUCUCUGGCAAUCGAUCUGUCUCUCGCAAUCGAUCCGUCUCUCUCGUUCUUGGCCGCUUCUCUUCGUCGCUCUCUCCUCGUUCGUUUCUCUCUUCGUCGAUUUCUCUCUUCAUCGCUCUCUCUUCGUCAAUUUCUCUCUUCGUCAUCGAUGCUGUCAAAGGGAGAUGAUGUUUGAUCCAUUUCUCUCUUCGUCGUUGUUCUCCUCCGGAGCCGUCCAUGCAAUCAUCGUGAAGGUUAUGUCUCUUUAAUUUUUUUGUUCCAGUGAAUUGUAAUCCUUCGAUUAGAAUCAAAUAUGUUGUUUCGAUUAUGAGUUUUGACUCAGUUCAUCUCCUCUAUUUGUCUCUCUCAUUACAUGGAGAGAGGAAGAACAUAGGUUUGUGCAACAGUCAGGAAGAGGGAUGCGAUUGUGCGUUAACAGUCAGGAAGAGAGAUGUUCAGAUAGAAAAGAUGUAAAAUCAGAUGGCAGAGUUGAGAAAGAAGAUGGAUUUUGUUCAGUCUCGGCUUAAAAAUUUAAUGAGAUUCAUUGAACACAAGGAAGUAGAUAUACCGAAGGAGCAGCAAGAAACGUACCAAAGUCCAUGGAGGAGGAUCAAACAUCAUCAAAGCUUUUAAUGCGUGUGAAGCGAGAAGAGCAUGUGAGUGCAA
Brassica napus (rape) is the source of this 1320-nucleotide long non-coding RNA. RefSeq lists it as uncharacterized. NCBI's taxonomy places the organism in Eukaryota, Viridiplantae, Streptophyta, Magnoliopsida, Brassicales, Brassicaceae. The transcript has 4 exons. The record is from RefSeq and is a predicted model, not a curated record.